GACGAACGCUGGCGGCGUGCUUAACACAUGCAAGUCGAACGGAAAGGCCCUGCUCUUGUGGGCUGCUCGAGGGGCGAACGGGUGAGAAACACGUGAGUAACCUGACCUGGACUGUGGGGUAACUUCAGGAAACUGGGGAUAAUACAGGAGAGGAGCUGCUGAAGCAUGGGGGGGGUCGGAAAGUUUCUGCGGGUGGGGGUGGACUCGCGGCUUAUCAGCUUGUUGGGGGGGGGGUGGCCUACCCAGGCUUUGACGGGUAGCCGGCCUGGGAGGGUGGCCACCCCCCUUGGGACUGCGGUACGGCCCAGACUCCUACGUUAGGCAGCGGUCGAGAGUAUUGCACAGUGGGGGGACGCCUGAUGCGACGGCGCCGCGUGCGGGAUGACGGCCUUCCGGUUGUAAACCGCUUUGUCCUGUGACGAAGCUUGGGUGACGGUACUGGGUAAAGAAGCACCGGCUAACUACGUG
RNAcentral lists this ribosomal RNA (468 nucleotides) under uncultured bacterium. RNAcentral's name for it is "partial 16S ribosomal RNA". It matches the Rfam family "Bacterial small subunit ribosomal RNA", at positions 28 to 507 of the family's 1533-position model. The record is from RNAcentral.